GAUGGACGCUAGCGGCAGGCCUAAUACAUGCAAGUCGGACGGGAUUCAGGAGCUUGCUUCUGAUGAGAGUGGCGCACGGGUGCGUAACACGUAUGUAACCUACCUUUAUCAGGGGGAUAGCCUCUCGAAAGAGAGAUUAAGCCCGCAUAAAAUCACAGCACAGCAUUGUGUAAUGAUCAAAUAUUUAUAGGAUAAAGAUGGGCAUGCGGAACAUUAGCUAGAUGGCGGGGUAACGGCCCACCAUGGCGACGAUGUUUAGGGGAUCUGAGAGGAUGGCCCCCCACACUGGUACUGAGACACGGACCAGACUCCUACGGGAGGCAGCAGUAAGGAAUAUUGGUAAAUGGGCGGAAGCCUGAACCAGCCAUGCCGCGUGCAGGAAGACGGCCCUACGGGUUGUAAACUGCUUUUAUACGGGAAUAAACCCAGAUACGUGUAUCUGGCUGAAUGUACUGUAAGAAUAAGGAUCGGCUAACUCCGUG
This 482-nucleotide ribosomal RNA is filed under the name uncultured bacterium. RNAcentral describes it as "partial 16S ribosomal RNA". It matches the Rfam family "Bacterial small subunit ribosomal RNA", at positions 28 to 507 of the family's 1533-position model. The record is from RNAcentral.